RNAcentral lists this ribosomal RNA (497 nucleotides) under uncultured bacterium. RNAcentral describes it as "partial 16S ribosomal RNA". It matches the Rfam family "Bacterial small subunit ribosomal RNA", at positions 28 to 507 of the family's 1533-position model. The record is from RNAcentral.
GAUGAACUCUGGCGGCGUGCCUAAUACAUGCAAGUCGAGCGAACAGACGAGGAGCUUGCUCCUCUGACGUUAGCGGCGGACGGGUGAGUAACACGUGGAUAACCUACCUAUAAGACUGGGAUAACUUCGGGAAACCGGAGCUAAUACCGGAUAAUAUAUUGAACCGCAUGGUUCAAUAGUGAAAGACGGUUUUGCUGUCACUUAUAGAUGGAUCCGCGCCGCAUUAGCUAGUUGGUAAGGUAACGGCUUACCAAGGCAACGAUGCGUAGCCGACCUGAGAGGGUGAUCGGCCACACUGGAACUGAGACACGGUCCAGACUCCUACGGGAGGCAGCAGUAGGGAAUCUUCCGCAAUGGGCGAAAGCCUGACGGAGCAACGCCGCGUGAGUUAUGAAGGUCUUCGGAUCGUAAAACUCUGUUAUUAGGGAAGAACAAAUGUGUAAGUAACUAUGCACGUCUUGACGGUACCUAAUCAGAAAGCCACGGCUAACUACGUG